GAGUUUGAUCAUGGCUCAGAUUGAACGCUGGCGGCAUGCCUAACACAUGCAAGUCGAACGGUAACGCGGGGGCAACCCUGGCGACGAGUGGCGGACGGGUGAGUAAUACGUAGGAAUCUGCCCAUUUGUGGGGGAUAACCCGGCGAAAGCCGGGCUAAUACCGCAUACGCUCUACGGAGGAAAGCGGGGGAUCGUAAGACCUCGCGCUAAUGGAUGAGCCUACGUCGGAUUAGCUAGUUGGUGGGGUAACGGCCCACCAAGGCGACGAUCCGUAGCUGGUCUGAGAGGACGAUCAGCCACACUGGGACUGAGACACGGCCCAGACUCCUACGGGAGGCAGCAGUGGGGAAUACUGGACAAUGGGGGCAACCCUGAUCCAGCAAUGCCGCGUGUGUGAAGAAGGCCUGCGGGUUGUAAAGCACUUUCAGAGGGAAGAAAAAUACGGAUCUAACACAUCCGAGCUUGACGUUACCCCUUAGAAGAGCACCGGCUAACUCCGUGCCAGCCGCCG
Molecule: ribosomal RNA, 511 nt
Filed under: uncultured Gammaproteobacteria bacterium
Lineage: Bacteria; Pseudomonadati; Pseudomonadota; Gammaproteobacteria
Description: bacterial SSU rRNA
Rfam family: Bacterial small subunit ribosomal RNA
Source: RNAcentral